ACCUAGUAAGCGUAUGUCAUUAGCAUGCGUUGAUUACGUCCCUGCCCUUUGUACACACCGCCCGUCGCUACUACCGAUUGAAUGGCUUAGUGAGGCGUUCGGAGAGCCUAUARAGAGUUGGCAACAGCACUUUACUGGUUUGAAGUUCUACAAACUUGGUCAUUUAGAGGAAGUAAAAGUCGUAACAAGGUUUCCGUAGGUGAACCUGCGGAAGGAUCAUUAUUUAAAAUGUAAAGGAGUGCACUUYAUUGUGACUCUGACACUUUUAAAUAUUUAAACCAUUUUAAACCCAAAGCUGUUAUGUGUGCCUUUUAGGUAUAGCAUCUCAGUAGUACGUCUCAACUUUUGUUUUGACAUUACCCCCCCUUAUAAGUGACCCCCCUUUUUGUGCAUUGAUGGACUUUAAAUAAUGUUUUAAGAAUGUAAACCCUAUAAUCAUAUAACUUUUAACAAUGGAUCUCUUGGCUCUCACAUCGAUGAAGAACACAGUGAAAUGUGUUAAGUAAUGUGAAUUGCAGAAUUCAGUGAAUCAUCGAAUCUUUGAACGCACCUUGCACCUUUUGGUAUUCCAAAAGGUACACCUGUUUGAGUGUCAUGAAACCCUCUCAUUCUAAUUCUUUAUUUGAUAUAAGGAGUUGGUAUGGAUGUUGAGUGUUGCCGUCAUUGGCUCACUUUAAAUACAUAAGUACUUUUAUCUUGAAAAAUAAAUGGAGAAAUACUUGGUGUAAUAUUUAUGUUUCAUUAAGGAGUGUGGUUUAAUUACUACAGCCAUUUGUUUUGGAUAAAUAGCUUCCUAACCCUAUUAUAUUUAAACUUUAGACCUCAAAUCAAGUGGGACUACCCGCUGAACUUAA
Molecule: ribosomal RNA, 854 nt
Rfam family: Eukaryotic small subunit ribosomal RNA (bases 1-222)